This 477-nucleotide ribosomal RNA is filed under the name uncultured anaerobic ammonium-oxidizing bacterium. RNAcentral's name for it is "bacterial SSU rRNA". It matches the Rfam family "Bacterial small subunit ribosomal RNA", at positions 365 to 832 of the family's 1533-position model. The record is from RNAcentral.
UUCGCAAUGCCCGAAAGGGUGACGAAGCCACGCCGCGUGAGUGAAGAAGGCCCUAGGGUUGUAAAGCUCUGUCAGGGGUUAAGAAAUGCAGGCAGGUUAAUACCCUGUUUGUUUGACAAAAGCCCCAAAGGAAGCCACGGCUAACUCUGUGCCAGCAGCCGCGGUAAUACAGAGGUGGCAAGCGUUGUUCGGUAUUAUUGGGCGUAAAGAGCACGUAGGUGGUUUUGUAAGUCAGAUGUGAAAGCCUUCUGUUCAAAGGAAGAACGGCAUCUGAAACUGCAGAUCUUGAGUGUAGGAGGGGAGAGUGGAACUUCUGGUGGAGCGGUGAAAUGCGUAGAUAUCAGAAGGAACGUCGGCGGCGAAAGCGGCUCUCUGGCCCAUAACUGACGCUGAGUGUGCGAAAGCUAGGGGAGCAAACGGGAUUAGAUACCCCGGUAGUCCUAGCCGUAAACGAUGGGCACUAAGUAGAGGGGUUUU